CGUCCGACGGGGCGGACGGCACCGUGUCCUGGUACGACGCGGACAAGGGCUUCGGGUUCAUCACGCCCGAGUCGGGCGGCC
This 81-nucleotide transfer RNA is filed under the name Terrabacter tumescens. RNAcentral's name for it is "tRNA-Thr". The record is from RNAcentral. Lineage: Bacteria; Bacillati; Actinomycetota; Actinomycetes; Micrococcales; Intrasporangiaceae.